This 254-nucleotide ribosomal RNA is filed under the name uncultured bacterium. Its description in RNAcentral is "partial 16S ribosomal RNA". It matches the Rfam family "Bacterial small subunit ribosomal RNA", at positions 524 to 776 of the family's 1533-position model. The record is from RNAcentral.
UACGUAGGCAGCAAGCGUUGUUCGGAGUUACUGGGCGUAAAGGGUGCGUAGGCGGCCCUGUAAGUAUGGUGUGAAAUCUCCCGGCUUAACUGGGAGGGUGCGCUAUAGACUGCGGGGCUCGAGUGUGGGAGAGGAAAGUGGAAUUCCUGGUGUAGCGGUGAAAUGCGUAGAUAUCAGGAGGAACACCGGUGGUGUAAACGGCUUUCUGGACCAUAACUGACGCUGAGGCACGAAAGCCGUGGGUAGCAAACAGG